CAAGAAGCUCAUUGUAGAAGGUAAACAGUUACUUGUUCUCAAGUUUUCUUCUAUUUGAAAUAGUGAUUUCUAAUGUCACCAGCUACAGAGUGUUGUGGCAAAGACUCACCUCAUUGGGAUUACCUCACCAUCAUUGUGUUUGCAGCACAUCUUUGUAUCCAGGCUGAAUGCCACAUCCCAAGGUCCAUGUGUUUAUUUCCUAAGGGUCAUCAGAACGAGCUGGUCACACGGGCACGAGGUCCCCUCCACUAAACCUACAACCUGCAUGCUCAUCACCUCAGGAAGGUAGAAUUUCCCCCACCCAUUCACCACUUUAUCCUUGUUUUUGUAAAUGGUGUCAUCAAGGUCUGCUAUCUUCAGUGUGGCACCAGCUGGUUUCUUUAAGACGGCAGUCUCGCCUUUGAAUUUGGACACAAGGUCUGACACUGAUGUAAGGUAAUCUGGACCUGCAAACAUGUCAUGUGUGAGAAGUUUAAUAAACCAUAAAAAUACAGUA
Molecule: long non-coding RNA, 496 nt
Organism: Acanthopagrus latus (yellowfin seabream)
Lineage: Eukaryota; Metazoa; Chordata; Actinopteri; Spariformes; Sparidae
Exons: 3
Source: RefSeq, a predicted model, not a curated record